This 304-nucleotide long non-coding RNA is filed under the name Eucalyptus grandis. RNAcentral's name for it is "long non-coding RNA (EGRA_LNC000290)". Lineage: Eukaryota; Viridiplantae; Streptophyta; Magnoliopsida; Myrtales; Myrtaceae. The record is from RNAcentral.
GCCUUCUUUUCCGAUCCCUUCCACUGAAAUUUUAUUCUGGGUUACUCCCUUUUCCGCUCCUUCGGCGAAUGCGAGUGCUUUUCUUGCGAGUCUUCGAUGCUUUCGGAGAUAGGCGUCGUGCGGCGAGGACUAAGGAGUAGGAGAAGAAGGUGUCGUGUUGCUAGGGUUUUGAGAACUCAGAAGGAAAAUAAAAGAUUAAAAAGGGGGCUUGCGUGUUGGAGCGAGGAGGAAAUGACAGGAGGGAGGGGAAGGGACGGCUGUCAGGUGGUGGGGAGGGAAAAAAAGUGAAAAAAUUUGGGGGUAG